Long non-coding RNA from Bos taurus (domestic cattle), 5251 nucleotides. NCBI's taxonomy places the organism in Eukaryota, Metazoa, Chordata, Mammalia, Artiodactyla, Bovidae. The record is from Ensembl.
GAGGGGAGGAGUGUGGAGAUGGAGGCGGGGGCGGGGACUCAGCCCGGGGCGCCGAGUUGGAGACUGAGGUGACCGAGGCCGGGCUGUGGAAGGCGGGCUUGGGGAUCCAGCGGGCGGGGCGAGGUCGCUCCGUGCCGCCCACGCCGGAUGCACAGCCGGCCUUCUCCGCGCCCACGUACCCACGUGAGCGCCCAGCCGGCGACAUUCUUACUCCCACUCCCCCUUCCCCUCCGAGAGGAGAGCGGAGUUUCACAACCACGCACAGGUACACAAAGACACCGAGCAGCGCAAAGGACGGGCACACGCGUCUAAACAGCUCUGCGGACGCCUGCUGCCCACACUCGAACCUCGCGGUGCUGUACUUGUGAACGUUAGGAGUGAGCCGGGAAAAGUUGUUGGAGACUCGGGGUGCGCGUCUCCUUUCGUGCGUCUGACUCCCAUAGAGAGUGCGCUUAAGGCAGGUCUGUGAGCGUGGGGCUCCGCAGGAGUCUUUUCCAUCUCCAAACGCUCUUUCCCAGCCCCUAAAGGAGCUGUUUGAAGAGGCAGUUCUCGGAAACCCAGGCGCCCUUCCAUCCCGGCCUGGAGUCCACGUCCAAGUUUGGGAAACAGGAAUGGGCGGGGCUUGUUAGAAGCUACCACUUAGACGCGCGUCGAUUACAGUCGCGACGGGUUUUGUUAGCGCUUAGGUCAGGCAGGCAUGGGAGGGGUACCCCGCCUUCCUCUACUCUUCGCACCCUAUUUGUUGAGGAUGGGGACCUGUUCCUGGGAAACUGUUGUGGUAGCCCUGGCAGAGGGAGGAUACCCUUUCUAGGGACGUCUGUUAGGGCACUUGGUCCGCAAGAGUCCAGAGUUAGAUGGGCACCACGCCGAGUAUGUCCAACGUGGCUCCCUACCGAGGAAUAAGAGGGAGGAGCUCCUUCGAGGAGCCUACCCCUCUCCGAAACCCACUCCCUACCCCCUUUGUUUCUCCCAGCUCCAUCUGGUUCCCAUUACACUCCCGCCCACGGCUGGGAGGGCGGACAGGCGGGGGCUCUGAGCGCCCGGCCCUGCGGCUCUAUGCCCCGAGGAAAUGCAGGAGGGUGGGGGGAGGCGGCGGGAAGCGAGCUGGCUGGCCAGAAGCAAGGUUCCCCCUAGUCCAAAACCUCGGCCCCGCCCACCCUUCUGCACUUCUGAGUGGCCCGGGGCGGCCUGGAGUGGGUGGCGUGGGCCAGGGCUGGUUCUACAUUCCGGCCUGGCGAGGGGACCUUUCGGCCGUUAGUGGAGGGCCGGAGAGGAGGGGUGGGGGUGCAUCGCAUCACCGGGGGGAAUUUCGGUAGCCAAGAUUCUCUUCUCCAUUCCAUAAAGCUACAAACACGGGGGUAGGGCGUGAUAGGAACGAGCUGAGUCCUCCGUCCGGCAACUGGAGGGCGCGGCGACACGAGGUACCUCCGGGGUCAUCCCCGACCCCCCUUAGGUUUGUGAGCCCCUCUGCGUGGAUUUAAAAAUAUGUACAUUUUAAAAACCAUUGACUUGUCAAGCCCCGCCAGAGGCCCAGACUCCCCCGCAGCCGGAGCUGCUGAGAUGUCUGUUCUUCGCUUCCCUCCCACUCCUACCACCUCCAACUCCCCUCCUCCUCCCUUCCGUUGAGAACAAGGAAUUUCCAGCCCUUAGCAAAUGGAGAGAGAAAGAGACCAAGAUUAAGAGAAACUACGGAAAAACAACAAAGACAAGAGACAGAGUGGUAACAAACUUUGGACAAGAUGGUUGGAUGGCAUCACCGACUCAAUGGUCAUGAAUUUGAACAAGCUCCAGGACAUGCUGAAGGACAGGGAAGCCUGGCGUGCUGCAGUUCAUGGGGGUCACAAAGAGUUGGAUAUGACUGAGCGACUGAACAACAAAAAUAACAACAAACUUUGAGUGGCACUGUUGUAGUUAAAAUUUGUUUCUUUUAUUUAAGUGAUAAGCAUAUGAGGUGCUCUGUGAGCACAGAGGAUGGCCUUGUUUGUGUUUUUAUUUAUUUGGCUGUGUUGGGUCUUGGUUGCAGCACUCGGGAUCUUCAUUGCAUCAUAGGGGAUCUUUCAUUCUGGGGCAUGAACUCUCUAGUUGUGGCUUAUGGGCUAAGCUGCUCUGUGGCAUGUAGGAUCUUAGUUCCUCAACCAGGCAUCAAACCUGCAUCCCCGGUAUUGCAAGGUGGAUUCUUAACCACUAGACCACCAGGAAAGUCCCAAAAUUUGUUUCUAUACAUCUGUAUUUAGGUGAUAUUAGGACUACGGGCCAUAAAGUAUCACAGGAGAUGCCAUGGAACCAUAAAGACUGUAACAUGGGAGUGACAUGGUCAGAUCUGUAUUUAGGAGUGGUAUGGAGAAAAGGUUUUAUGGAAGUUAAAAGUGCAGAGAGGCCAACUUGAAGGAAACAAAAGUGCUCUGAGAGAGAUGGCAAGGUGCUAGACUAAAUCACUGACGCUGGAGAUGGAGAGGAAAGGACAGAUUUAAAAGAUAGUCAUCAGGGCUUCCCUAGUGGCUCAGAGGUAGAGAAUCCACCUGCCAAUGCAGGAACCAUGGGUUCUAUCACUGAUCCACGUGCUGCAGGGCAACUAACCUUGUGCUGCAACUAUUGAGCCUGUGUUGAAGAGCCCAGGAGCCACAACUACUGAAGCCCCCGUGCCUAGAGGCCGUGCUUUACAAGAGAAGCCACUGCAAGAAGCCUACACACAGCAACUAGAGCGUAUCUCCUGUUCACUGCAACUGGAGAAAAGUCCAUACAGCAGUGAAGACCCAGCAUAGUGAAAAGUCAAAAAUAAAUAGGUAAUUAUUUUUCAAAAAAAAAACUAAAAAAAGAUCAUCGGGUAAUAUGAAUAGAACUUGAUGACUGGCUAAAGGGUUGGGGGAAGAGAAGAGUUUAGAGUAACUCUCAGGCUUCUAGCUUGGGUGACUGGAUAGAAUGGAGCAUCAUCAUCAGAUAGUCACCAUCUGCAGUCUUUUACCUAAGUUAAGAAAGUUAUGAAAAAAAGUUAUGAAAACCAAAAAUUUUCAUAUCUCUUUUGACUACGAAACCUAAUCUGACUUGAACUUACUUUGUGGCGGACCUCCUAGCUUAUCAAGGCUGUAUAUUGUCAUCUUGCUUAUUUAAUUUACAUGUGGAGUACAUCAUGUGAAAUGCUGGACUGAAUGAGGCACAAGCUGGAAUCAAGAUUACAGGGAGAAAUAUCAAUAACCUCAGAUAAGCAGAUGAUACCACCCUUAUGGCAGAAAUCAAAGAGGAACUAAGGAGCCUCUUGAAAGUGAAAGAGGAGAGUGAAAUAGCUUAUUAAUACAUAAGGUUAUUUAUAGUUUCAUUUAUGCCACUUUCAUUUAUACCAAUGUGAAUAUUCAUCUCUCAUUGCAGAAACAUUCGUUUAUGAGGUACUGUCCCAGACCCCACUGAGAUUGCUGUCUUAUUUAUUGCAUAUGCACCAUAUUACAUUUUAAAAUCCAAAAAAAUUCUGAAACACAUUUAUGAUCCAGAUUUCCUGCCCCAUUUACUCAUCAGCGUUGGCCUGAGUUUUUUUGGCUAUUUGCAUAAAUCAGAUCCACCUGCAGAUAAUGAAUAUUCAUUGAAGUGUGUGCUAUAGACUCUGAAGAUGAUUCUCAAAGUGUUUUGAGCAGUGUUCAUAUUAUUAAAACAAGGCUAAAAGCUUCUUGAGUACCUGGAAGUGACGGAACUCAUUUAGAUGAUAAGGUUUCAUGUGUUUAUGGACAACCAGUUUUAUUACUGUACACUGCAUUUACAUAUUUUAACAGUCAGUGGUGGGAAUUCUCUGGAGGUCCAGUGGUUAGCACUCAUUGCUUUUACUGCCAGAUCUGGGUUCAAUCCCUGGUGGGCGAUUGAAAAAAAAAAAAAGUAAAUGAUCCUCUGGAAUUAGUUGCCCUGUUCUCUGGCCUUUGUUCAAAACCAAAGAGCAAGUUCUGAAUGCUGAGAAUUUGGGACCUGGUAGAAAAUGAAGUGUGUUUGUGUGUUGAGGGGUGUAGGUGUAUAAAUUAUUUUUUAAAAGUUUUAGACUUACAGAAAAAUUGAGAAGAUAGUACAGAGUUGUCCUGUACUCCCCAUCCAGUUUCUACUGUUAUGAUCUUAACAUUAGUACUGUGUGUUUACCACCAUUAAUGAACCAGCAUUGAUAACACUAACUAAAGCCUAUCAUUCACUCAGAUUUCCUUAGUUUUUACCUAAUUUUUUUCUAUUUUAGGAUCCCAUCCAUGAUACCAUAUUACAUUUGGUUUCCAUAUUUUAUUAGGCUCCUCUUGGCUGUUAGUUUCUCAGAGUUGCCCUGUUUGUGAUGACUAUGAGGAGUAUUGAUCAGGUAUUUUGUAGGUUGCCUCUUUGUUUCUCUGUACCACACAUGGCUUGUGGGAUCUUAUGGGUUCCCCCACCAGGGACUGAACCUACACCUUUGGCAGUGGAAGUGGAGAGUCAUAACCACUGGACCACAAGAGAAGUCCCUAGUUUACCUCUUUAUCUGAAUUUUUAAAGUGGCUUCCCUGGUGGCUCAGAUGGUAAAGAAUCUGCCUGCAAUGCAGGAGACCCAGGUUCCAUCUCUGGGUCUGGAAAAUCCCCUGGAGAAGGAAAUGGCAACCCACUCCAGUAUUCUUGCCUGGAGAAUUCCAUGGACAGAGGAGCCUGGCAGGCUACAGUCCAUGGCGUGGCAAAGAGUCCGACCCAACUGAGAGACCUAUUAAUAAAUGUUUAUCUUAGUUUUAUGAGUUUUGAGGAGGAAAACCACAGAAAUACCAUUUUCUCCACACACUAUCAAGGGUACAUAGUAGCAACGAGAUGUAUUACUGUGGAUACUGACCUCUUUAGGUCAGCCAGGGGAGUGUGUGGUGGAAGUGUUUGAGAGGAUGACUGUUGCACCAGAGGUGGCCUUGAGUUUUCUUUCUGAGAAUGAAAUUUCUUCUCUUGCCAGUUUCUUGGCUUCAUUUUCACUUUUUUAAAAUCCCUGUUUUGAAAGCUUGAACCUUCCCCAGCAGUUACCUCCUUCUCUGAAUUUUAAAAAAAAUUUUAUUAUUAAAUUUUUUAUUCUUCUGCAAGGCUGUUGCUUCACUGUAUAAAAAUAGCACCAGCAAAUGCAGUAUAUUGCAAAAUUAAGAUAGUAAUAUUCUUCAUUGGAUACUAUACAACUAACAAACUUUUCUCCACUGGCAGUUAUUUCUAGUGGUAAGAUAAUUUUGACCCAAAUCCAAGGAUAGCUGUAAGCAAGUUACAAUGUCAUAUAAGGUUUAAGAUAACCAUGUUAUCC